Long non-coding RNA from Apis cerana (Asiatic honeybee), 4850 nucleotides. RefSeq lists it as uncharacterized. The record is from RefSeq and is a predicted model, not a curated record. NCBI's taxonomy places the organism in Eukaryota, Metazoa, Arthropoda, Insecta, Hymenoptera, Apidae.
AAUCUCGAUUUUCUACUGGCUUCGAAGCGACUGGACACCAAACAGAGAUAGAGGAAAAACCAGUGCAAACGGAGGCGUUCACAUCAUCCCACUUGUAUAUACAUGAAAACGAACGCGUCAUCGAACUUCUCAUCGAUUCUUCGAAUGAUCACACGAUUUGUGAAAAAAAAAAAUUUGUUUUCUAUCAAAGAUUCAUUAUUAAUUGAUGUUAAUAAUGUUUAUUUAAAAACGAUCUUUCCACACAGAGUGCCAUUGACUUUCUAAUAGAGACAAAAGAACUGAAAGUGUUUCACGUCUCCAUUGGCGACAUUUAUAUGCCGUUCAUGACAAACCUUGACGAUCUCUUUCCCUAUGUACCAAGUGUACGAUGACCAUUUAACGUUUCAAGGUGGAAAUGUAAUGAAUUGUAACUGCCCUUCAAUCUCACUGGAUAAAUAUGGAUGCGGAUGAUGCCAUGGAAAAUGAGCAAAUUCUGUAGUAUCGUCGUAAAUCAUCCUGUUUAUUGUUAUUUAUCGCCCAUAUGUAACCCGCAUAUAUGUAAUUCCGUUUUUUUUUUAUUCUUGUAGAAAUUUCAGGAUAAAUAAAUUGCGAUUAUUGCAACAUGCGCGUGAAAGAUUUAAAAUGAAGAACGGAUAAUUAUGAUCGAACAGAAUUUUUAUAUAUAUAUUCUUUUUUUAUUAAUUAUAACAUUGUUCUUUUUCUUUUCUUUAUAAUUCAAUGUCAUUUUCCGUGACGUUCAUUCAUAAUUUUUACAUAUAAAAAAAUUCGAAGAUGAUAAUUGGUAAAAAUACGGUACAUUGUUUAACAUUGUUGCACGUAAAAUAUUGUCAAAGUAUACGUCGUUCAAGUAAAGAAUAGAUUACAGCUGAUCAGAUCGUAUACGUCCUUCGUGCGUAAUUUCACGUUAGUUUAUUCAAGCAUGGCAAGAUUAACAUAUAUUUUACAAUUUAAACGACUCGACGGAAUUUCUAAUUCUUCAUAAAGAAGUCUACGUGAUACUCCAUAUUGUGUUACUGUUAGUAAUCUUUUUAACGUUCUUAAUUUUUUUCACAUUGUGUCCCAAUCAAUUUAUACGAAUAAUUCUGUUACAUAUGAUUAACGACAAAAAUAUUUAAAAAUCUUUUUUCGAUAAAUUUUUACAUUUUAAUCUUUAUAAAUUCAUAAAAGAUUUUUACGAUACGAUUUAAAUAUUUUUCUCUUAUUAAUUAUCAUGAUCCAUAGGGGAUCGACUCAAAUGAAUUAAAGUACAUCAAUUGUAAUCUAACCGAAAUGAGAUGGAACCAAACAAAUGCAACAAAGGCAAUAAAUAAAUAAAGAAUAAUAAACCUAAUCGUAUCUACCUUGAAACGCAGUUCAAUUGUGCGUUCAAUUGUAACCAACAACUUAAACGCUUCCAUCUGAUCUCUAUUCUUCUUAAUUCAACUUACAAUUGAAUCCGACCAGGUCUCCAACGAAUGUGACACAAUUUUACAGUAGCGUCUAAACGAAAAGCAUAAUUAUAUUCAUUUGUCAAUAUUUUAAAUUAACAAACAAGAAAUAAAUGAAUCUAGAUCAAAUUCCGUAUAUAUUGCAAUGACGAUCAUGAUUCAUUCAUUCAGAUGAUUUUCAUUUAUAAUAAGAAAUUUAAAAUUAAACAUCGAAUUAUAGAUUUCAAAAUUUACAAAGAAUUGAAUCGAAGGAUUUCAGAAUUUAUAGAAACGAUAUUCCCAAAAAUAUAUUCGAUAAAAUAUAUUUUGUAUUUCAAAAGAAAUUGAACUCACGAUUAAAUUGCGCGUUCCCUUCCUCAAUGUACUCGAAACAAAGUAUCAUGUAUGAAACAGGUGUUCAGCCGGUUUUCAUUUUCCUUUCACGAAUCGCCUACGCCAUUUUUUAAAUGCCCAUUAAUUAUAUGUGACUAGUUAAUUUCGCGACCACGAUUAAGUAAAAAAAUCGCGAAUCGACACGUGUCAAAUGGCAAUAUAGCACAUCGUCAAACGACCACAGACUGUUCUGUUGCUGCAGCAACUAUCUUCCAAGGUAAACGUAUGCCACAGACUUUCUGCCUCUGUCCCCGUUGACCAUCGAAGGGGCAGUGGGAGAAGUGAAACAGAACGGAGAGGGGAAGGUUCGGUCCUUCUUAAGUUCUGGUCUUUCCGAUCAGCAAGCCACACUAGUUCUACCAUGUCAGAUCGUGCCAUGCAGCUUUCACGUGAAAUACCGUCGUCCGCCAUGAAAUAACCACAGUCCACUUCGAAAACUUAUGGCAUGCAGGCUUUAUGUAUACAAAUAACCAGGUGAUAAAGAUGUUUGAAAAAUGAUAAAAUAUCGUUGAUGGAAUAGAAAUAUAUUUCGAGUAACUUAUUCGAUGGUUUUGUUAAUUUUGUUUAUUUCGAUUUCAUGCUCGAUGUUAGAAUAGGGAAUAAAAGAAGUGAUAAAUGGACAGAUUGUUACGCAAUGAUCUAUCUAUUUAGAGAAAAAAAUUGGAAAUUCAUUAUGAAUUAUCAUAAUCAUAGUUUGUGAUUAAUGAAGCAAUGUUUAGAAACAUUCAAUGCAGAAAGUGCUUAUGUUACGUAAAAUAUCCGGAAUACGUGCUUCACGGUUUACUAGGUAUCGGUUAAUUACUAAAAUUCCGGGUUUUAACAGUUGUACCUUUUCAAACUAUCUAAUUACUGAUCGUAUCUGGCAAUUACAUAAUCUUUGAAGAACAUUAUGUCGGUCCUUGAGCUUAUAGCCGCUAUUAAAUGAUCGUUUAACCGCCAUUUUCGCAAAAUUUAUAAUUUUGAAAAAUUAUCUAGUUUUGUUCUUCUUGAUAUAAUUCUUUCAAUUACUCGAAUCGUUUUUUAAAAUUAAAAAAAUGACAUUGAAAAAUUAUUAUCUUUCUUGUCUCUUACUCAUUAUUUGUUUAAAUAUUCAAAAUAUUAUUAAAAAAUUGAGAAAAAUUAUAAAUAUAAUUAAAUUAAUGAAAUAUAAAUUAUAUAAAUAAAAAUUAAUCAUCUCCUUAAAAUAAACAUAACUUAUUAUUUGCCACGAAGUGACAAAUCUCAGAAUUAUCAAAUAUAACUUCAAAUAUUUUGUUAACCAUUCGCCUAUGGUUAAAAAGACUGGGAUGUUAUUCAUUAUCGUCUUGCUAAUAUAAAACACGUCAAACCAAAUAAUCACAAUUGCAAACUAUAAUUUUGAAAUGUUCUAAAUAUUCAGUAUUCUCCAAUCUUCCUCGAAUCGCUAUCUUUUACAUCCUUUUAUAAUAUCUAAAUAAUACAAUCUCUUCCUCGAAUUAUGCAAAAAGUCAUUUUUGAUAAAUUAAAACAAACAUAAUAUUUUAUUUCUAGAUUUUGAUCUAAGAUUCUGCAAAAACUUAAAAGAAAAAAAUACUAAAAUGUUAAAAUCUUGAAAAUAUCAAAGAAAUGUUUAAUAUGUAAUAAACAUACGAUACAAAUGAGUGGAAUAAAUAUUCAAUUCUUUGCCUCAAAAUAUUCAUUAUAAAAUUUUAUACAAAAAUAAUUAUAAUUGAUUAAUAAAAAGUUACUAAAAAGUUACAAUUAUCAAAUCACAAAUCAUUUUAAAAAUGCUGUUAAAAACCGAAAUACUGAAACAUCGCUUUCUAAAUAAAACACCUCGUGACAAAAAUGGCAACUUCAAAAAACGAUCUCUAAAAAUAUCGCUACACAAAGGAAGAAAAUCGUCGGGUCAAACGUCCCGCUACUAUUCUGCGGCGUGGCGCGCAGCGAUUAUAUUUUGAAAAGUGGCGGGUUUUCCUUCGUCUUCGAAUAUAAUUGUUCACGUGGGCAGAAAAAAAUCGUGCAUGCACAAUUUCCCGCGGUUGACACACAUCGAUAGAUAACACGGCCGAUAAGACGAAACGUGCACGGCUCACACUCAUACUUACUCAUGUGUGUGUAUUUUUGUCUUAUUCAGUUCAUCGAAAACAACCGGAGAAAAAUCAAAUAAAACUGGUUUACGCCGGCUUAGACCGGAUGCGACAGCUUAGUUGCAACUAACGUACGACGGUUUAUUGUUACAUCGACCGUUAUGUGCAACUGGUCUAUGGAAAAAAAUCGGUUUUUACCCAGGAUUCGAUCGGACAAAAUUGAAAGCCGAUAUCAGCAGUCCAUUUUCGUUGAUCUCUGGCGAUCUGUCUGGUCCGAUUUCCCGUUUCAUCCGUUAUGUUCCGGCGAAUCGAUGGAAAAAAUAAAAUAAUGACGAAUUUAAAUGAAAUUGGUUUUUACGAUAAAAUUUUGUUUUAAUAGAUUAUGAGAAUAAAAAAUGGAUGGAAGAAAUUGGAAUUAAAUAUAUAAAAUAAAAAAAACUUGUUUAUUGAUGAAUUAUUAGUCAAAAAAUAAUGAACAGGAAUAACGGAAGACUGCUAUUAUUAUUGCUGUGAUUAUGAGAAAUGAAUAUAUAAGAAGUGGAAUUUAUAAUAAAUUUCAAUUUUAAUUUUUGGAUUUCAGUUUUUUUGAUAAAUUUUGUUAUAAUAAUUUUUUCUCUCUUUUUAUGUGCUAGUACAUUUCAAUUGGAUAUGUGUAAGCUAUCAUUCCGAUUGUAUCAUCGAUAUCGAUAAAUACACAAUUGCGUUCGUACACUUUUUAACUAUAACGUUUGAAAUUGAUCCAUAGACCCCGUAACUGAAGGAAUCUUGUACUGUAUCGUAUUAAAUAUUUUGUAAUAAAAGUAAGUUAAAAAUUAUGAUUGCCUUACAUGAAAAGAUGAGGAUAUUCUUAUUAUUUUUAACAAUAUGAUAGUUAAGAAAUGUAAAAAAAAUAAGUACGGAUUAUAAUUUUUUUCGUAAAUAAUUGUAAUUUUUUGUAAUAUUGUAUUUUAAUAUAAUAAAAAAACAUAAUCACGUUAUUUAGUGAUAAUUGUUUGAAUAUGAA